AUGAGAACUUUAUGCUGGAACUGUCGUGGGAUUGGCGACCCCGCGACAGUUCGUGAGCUCCGGGAGCUCAUUCAGGAAUGUGCGCCAUCGGUGGUUUGCAUUGUGGAAACACAACUGUCAAAACAGCGUGUGGAAGGCCUCACGGCAACGUUGGGGUUUGAAGGGGGUUUUGCGGUGUCAAGCAGAGGGAGGAGUGGUGGUUUAGAAGUUUUUUUGAGGCAUGGCUUAGAUUUCAGAAUGAAGAAUUUCUCUCGAUAUCACAUCGAUGCGUGGGUGGCAGAACCAGGAAAAGAGGAUUGGAGACUAACCUGCUUCUACGGGGAGGCAAAUAGAUCAUUACGUCAGAACACAUGGAACACGAUGGCUCGACUAAGAGGAGAGUCGACCUUGCCAUGGUUGUGUAUCGGUGACUUUAACGAGAUACUUCGCAGAGAAGAACAGAUUGGCCCUAAUGAGAGAGAUGAAGCCCAAAUGACAGGAUUUAGAGAAGCAGUGGAUUUGUGUAACUUGGCUGAUAUUGGCUAUAUUGGGCUUGAUUGGACGUUUGAGAAGAAGGUGCACGGAGGGCACUACUGUCGUGUGCGCCUCGAUCGAGCAUUGGCCUCACCGGAAUGGAGUGCAAUGUUUCCAUAUGCAACACUUAGACAUUUGCAAGCUGCAAAAUCAGAUCACUCAACCGAUUGUCUUAUGUAA
This 693-nucleotide ribosomal RNA is filed under the name Triticum aestivum (bread wheat). RNAcentral's name for it is "partial small subunit ribosomal RNA". Lineage: Eukaryota; Viridiplantae; Streptophyta; Magnoliopsida; Poales; Poaceae. The record is from RNAcentral.